This 77-nucleotide transfer RNA is filed under the name Deltaproteobacteria bacterium. RNAcentral's name for it is "tRNA-Arg". It matches the Rfam family "tRNA". Rfam says of the family: Transfer RNA (tRNA) molecules are approximately 80 nucleotides in length. Their secondary structure includes four short double-helical elements and three loops (D, anti-codon, and T loops). The record is from RNAcentral. RNAcentral also lists the same sequence under 2 other names. Lineage: Bacteria; Pseudomonadati; Myxococcota; Myxococcia.
GCGCCAGUAGCUCAGCUGGAUAGAGCAACGGACUUCUAAUCCGUAGGCCGGGGGUUCGAAUCCCUCCUGGCGCACCA